Long non-coding RNA from Oncorhynchus nerka (sockeye salmon), 3908 nucleotides. RefSeq lists it as uncharacterized. The transcript is spliced from 2 exons. NCBI's taxonomy places the organism in Eukaryota, Metazoa, Chordata, Actinopteri, Salmoniformes, Salmonidae. The record is from RefSeq and is a predicted model, not a curated record.
UCUAGGUUGUGCUAAACUUUCAUGUUUGACUUUAUUUUCCUUUUUGCAGCACAUACCUUUACCCACACACUUUUUCUUUAUAUUAUUUAUUUGUGUUAUGUAUGAAUACAUACUGUUGCUAUACCGGGGCGGCAGGUAGCCUAGUGGUUAGAGCAUUGGGCCAGUAACCGAAAGGUUGAACUAACUGAAUUCCUGAACUGACAAGGUAAAAAUCUGUUGUUCUGUCUCUGAACAAGGAAGUUAACCCACUGUUCCCUGGUAGGCUGUCAUUGUAUAUAAGAAUUUGUUCUUAACUGACUUGCCUAGUUCAAUAAAGAUUCAAUUAAAAAAAUACUAUAGUUAUCAUGCAAUGUUGACGCUCCACCUAGUGACACAUUAACCUUCUAAUGCUGCCUGAGGAAGACCUUUGGCCGAAAGGUGUGGCACCAUGCAUAGCUGUGUAUCCAAGUGUUGGAUAGAUGCCACAUCUUUUCCAUUAUGGCUCCUGUGACAUUAUGAGCAGUGCCAUUGAGGGCAAUCUCCAUUUUAAAGUACAGUAGUCAAUGUCUUCUUCUUCUAGUUCUAUAAGUUUAUUUACAGUCGGUAGACAAACUGAAGGGUGCAUACCGCCACCUAGAGUGUGUUGUCUGAACAGGCAUGAAGCCAAGAUUAGUAAAUGACUGCCAGCUACAACUAUCAAAUGUUUGCUCAGGGGGUUGGAAUUAUGUGAUCCUUCCUUAAAGGGGGCUGAACUCGCUGAUUUUGCUUCGUUUUUUCACCCCCACAUUAAGAAAUGCUACAGUAGAAGCCAAUCUAGAGUUUAAGUAGCGCUCGUUGGAGACCUCACCAGAACAACCGGGAGGUUUGCCUUUGUACUUGCCCUUCGGAUAGCACACGCUUUGUCACAUCCUGAUCUGUUUUACCUGUCUUGUGCUUGUCUCCACCCCCCUCCAGGUGUCUCCCAUUUUCCCCAUUAUCCCCUGUGUAUUUAUACCUGCGUUUCUGUUUGUCCGUUGUUGCUAUAGUUACUAGUUGUAGGGGUUCCGACCAUUUCUGCUUGCCCUGACCCCGAGCCUGCAUGCUGUCCUGUACUUUUCUGACUCUGACCUGCUUCCGAACUUCUGCCUGCCCUACCCAUGAGACUGCCUGCCGCCAUGUACCUGUCGAACUCGGACCUGGUUACGAACCUAUGCCUGUCCUCGACCUGCCCUUUGCCCAUCUCCUGUAGUUUCAUAAACUACUCUGUGUAUUGAACCUUCUGUUUCCUGUGUCUGCAACUUGGUCAUUUCCUGAGUUGUGGUAGUUUUGGGGCUUUUUCUGACUAAAGUACAUUUAACCUAUUUACUACCUAUGGUAUUAGGCCUAAGGAAAUGGCGUCCAUUGAGAGGGCAAGAACAAGAUGUAUGUUAGGAGAAGUGCAGUAUUAUCAAAAGGAGAUGUAUACUUGGGUUACGGAUGAGGAAUGGAUGGAAAAAGAGAGGCAGAGGUCGAAGAGAGGGAAUGAAGAGGGUGAGCUUCAAUCGGAAAAAGGGGAGAUGGUUUGGUAAAGAAGAAUGGUAGGAAGUGUAAGCAGAGUGAGCUGUACACCGGAUCAAAGACAGGAGGAGAAAUGGAAGUGAAUGACGGCGAAGUAUCAGAGGUGGUAAGUGUGGUGAAGUUCUCAGAGUCCGUGGCUUGCUCCGAGGGUCAGGAAAAAGAUGAGUCUGUGACGGUAGGAGUGACAUUUUUGGAAAAAGUGGACCCUUGCCUUUUUAGAUGAUCCAUUUGUGUUUUCAGGGUGGGUGAAAACAGAGUUGGGUGCUGUGGAAUCAGUGAAGGUAACCAGAAGUGGUCUUGUGAUAAUUAUGUGUUUCCGCUGGUCAGAGGGAGCAGUCGCUCUGCGUUAAACAUGGGGACAAGAGAUUUUGUUUUGUUUUGCUCUCAUGAAAAGGGUGCCAUUGAAUGGUGUGAUUACUGGGGUAGCAGUAAACGUGAAAGUUUACCAACUGAAGGGGAAGAUUCCCAGUGUUUGAUGCGCGUCCUUUGGUGCGACGCAGACAGGGUAGCGUGAGUGUUAAAACAGAAGAGUCGUCUGUUCUUUCAAGUUUUGAUGUUGAGUCUUUGCCUGACAAAGUGAUGUUAGGAUAUAGAAGUUAUCCCGCACAAGCUUUUGUGUCGAAUACAUUACGUCGUUACAGGUGUCAAGCUUAUGGGCAUGAGACAAAAUAAUGUGUAGCAUUGGGGUAAGUAGUGGUAUGUGUUAAUUGUAGGGUUGCCCAUGGAGCUGAGGAUCAGAAAUGCCCGGUGUGAAAGAGGCAGGUUGAGGUUACCAGGGACAGAUUAGUGCAGAAGUUGUGGUAUGCUGAGGCAGUGAAGAAAGUAAAGGAAGAUGGGUCAAGGGGGAGGGAUCCUGAGAGGAGUGAUGUGAGUAGUAGAUCUGUACCAGUACAGAGGGAUAGUCCAACAAGUGAUAUAUGCUUCAGUAUGACUGGAUAUUUAGCAUUUAUAGCAAUAGUUAUCAACUAUACUGCAGGGAUGUAACAAAAAUCGCAGAAAAUUUAAGUUGUGGUGGCAGCUGCAGAGAGGUAUUUGAGUGUACAAGACUUGAAGUCAGAAGAGCUACAGCGUGUGUUGAGUGGUGGUGUCCCGUCCUUUCAGGCUGUUGGCCUAAGGGAGGACUAGAUUGACUUAAAUAGUGGAGUAGGGUGGUGGGUUUUGGUGAGUGUAGAAUUAAAUGGUUGGGUAUUUGUUGAUAUGUUUUAUUUUUUGAAGAAAAAUAUAAGGGAGUUAUACUCCAGUCUAGUAGGUGGUGGUAAUACAACAUUUAUUGGAUGCCAACUGCUGUUAAACCCUAUCGAAGAAGAAACAAACAGGAGUUAUCUUGGGGGUGUGGUUUGAUCAAUGGGUUUGAUGUGGGUGUUAUGUUCACUAUUAGGUGAUUGGCAGUAGGAAGCCGUCUGCUUAAGUUUUCGAGAUGAUCGAUCUCUGUGGACGGAGGAGCUGGUUUUUACAUAUUGUGUAUAUUUAUUUAUUCUGAAAAUAUUUCAGUUUGUUGGCACUGUCAAUUCUUGCAGAUGUUAUUGUUCGCUAGAUGGACAGGCAAAUGUAAAAUGUAAACCAAUUCAAACUUGUGUACUAUCCAUGGUAGUAUCUCUGCUGAUCACGUUAUCCGCAUCUAAGGUAGUAGACUGGUGAUCUCCGUUCAUCAAACUGCUAUCAGCUCUCCUGUGUCCUGCUCCCAGAGAUCAACCAAGUGCUAUUCACCAAGCAUGGGCUGAUUCCCUCACCUGUGAGAACCAUCCGACUGCAGUUUGAACUAACCCUGCCGUCACUAUUUAUACAUUGGGACCACAUAUUGUCUUAGUCUAGUGCAUUUUAGAAUUGAAGAACACCCAUUACAGAUACAUGUGCUUGUUUGAGCAUAUUUAUUCAUUGUCUCUCACUUUUGUCUCCUGUGAUCUAUUCACCAAGUCUUGCGGUUUGAACUAGCCCUGUCGUCACGAUUUAGACAUUGCAUUUGCCUGUUUUUUUCUUCUUUGUGGUUUGUCUUACACAGUGUUAGGGUGGCAGGUAGCGUAGCGGUUAAGAUCAUUGGGCCAGUAAUCGAAAGGUUGCUGGUUUGAAUCUCUGAGCCGACUAGGUGAAAAAUCUGUAAUGUAAAUGUCUCUCCACAUCGCUGACCAGGGUGGGAUACUUUUGAUAUGCCGCCAAUGGGGUCUGAGCACACAACGACGCACACAAUGAAGGAGGAAUACUGAAGCAUGCAUUGAUAUGUCUCCUUCAGAGGCUCAGGCUUUUGGCAUAGAUGGUAACGCUCUCAUUACUGGACUGUAAGAUUGUGCUCUCCCCGGCACUUGAAAUAUAUUGAUUGGUACUGUAGGUUAUACUAUAUUUAGAUACUUCAAAUACCUUUGCUAUUGUCUCCGUAAUCAAUAAAUGGUGAAACACUA